GUUUGUUGAAGGCAGCUGUGAAAUGAUCCUGGACAAGCUUACUGCAUUAUCCUGGGUUCAAGUUUCAGUAUGUCUAAUGAACGCUUUAGGAAACCAGAUGUCAUGAGCUUAGCAGAAUCUGCAAUUACAUCUGACACCUUGAUGCCUUCCUUUCCUUUGGAACUUUCUUUCUUCUGUGGCAGCAGUCAGAAGCUUCCCCAAGGAGGGUGGAUGCUGAGUAAGUGUGAAAAGGAGAGAGGAGAUGAGAACCAGACUGAUGCCAAAGGGGAAAGAGAAAGUCAAACCAGAGCCAAAAUGAACCACUAAAAACAGCAAGUGUAUACGUAUUUGGGCAAUAUAGUAAACCUCUAUUAUGUAUCAUGUGAGUCUAUAAUAAAUAAAUUUUAUGUUAUGACUCA
RNAcentral lists this long non-coding RNA (398 nucleotides) under Vulpes vulpes (red fox). Its description in RNAcentral is "lncRNA (ENSVVUG00000000138.1)". Lineage: Eukaryota; Metazoa; Chordata; Mammalia; Carnivora; Canidae. The record is from RNAcentral.